RNAcentral lists this ribosomal RNA (728 nucleotides) under uncultured Halobacteria archaeon. Its description in RNAcentral is "bacterial SSU rRNA". It matches the Rfam family "Archaeal small subunit ribosomal RNA", at positions 543 to 1268 of the family's 1478-position model. The record is from RNAcentral. Lineage: Archaea; Methanobacteriati; Methanobacteriota; Halobacteria.
CGGGAAAUCCAGUAGCUCAACUACUGGGCGUCCGGCGGAAACUACAAGGCUUGGGACCGGAAGGCUCGAGGGGUACGUCCGGGGUAGGAGUGAAAUCCCGUAAUCCUGGACGGACCACCGGUGGCGAAAGCGCCUCGAGAAGACGGACCCGACGGUGAGGGACGAAAGCCAGGUUCUCGAACCGGAUUAGAUACCCGGGUAGUCCUGGCCGUAAACGAUGUCCGCUAGGUGUGGCGCAGGCUACGAGCCUGCGCUGUGCCGUAGGGAAGCCGCGAAGCGGACCGCCUGGGAAGUACGUCCGCAAGGAUGAAACUUAAAGGAAUUGGCGGGGGAGCACUACAACCGGAGGAGCCUGCGGUUUAAUUGGACUCAACGCCGGACAUCUCACCGGCACCGACAGUAGCUGUGAAGAUCAGUCUGAUGGGCUUAUUGGAGCUACUGAGAGGAGGUGCAUGGCCGCCGUCAGCUCGUACCGUGAGGCGUCCUGUUAAGUCAGGCAACGAGCGAGACCCGCACUCCUAGUUGCCAGCAACACCCUUUGGGUGGUUGGGUACACUAGGAGGACUGCCGCUGCCAAAGCGGAGGAAGGAACGGGCAACGGUAGGUCAGUAUGCCCCGAAUGUGCCGGGCAACACGCGGGCUACAAUGGCCGGGACAGUGGGAUGUGACACCGAGAGGUGGAACUAAUCCCCUAAACCCGGUCGUAGUUCGGAUUGAGGGCUGAAACU